This 402-nucleotide ribosomal RNA is filed under the name uncultured Strobilidiidae. RNAcentral describes it as "partial small subunit ribosomal RNA". It matches the Rfam family "Eukaryotic small subunit ribosomal RNA", at positions 30 to 432 of the family's 1831-position model. Lineage: Eukaryota; Ciliophora; Spirotrichea; Choreotrichida; Strobilidiidae. The record is from RNAcentral.
GCUUGUCUCAAAGAUUAAGCCAUGCAUGUCUAAGUAUAAACUAUUUUAUACUGUGAAACUGCGAAUGGCUCAUUAAAUCAGUUAUAGUUUAUUUGAUGGUACCUUACUACUCGGAUAACCGUGGUAAUUCUAGAGCUAAUACAUGCUGUAAAGCCCGACUUCUCGGAAGGGCCGUAUUUAUUAGAUAACAGACCAAUAUUCCUCGUGUCUAUUGUGGUGAAUCAUAGUAACUGAUCGGAUCGCAUGGGCUACGCCCGCGACAAACCAUUCAAGUUUCUGCCCCAUCAGCUUUCGAUGGUAGUGUAUUGGACUACCAUGGCUUUUACGGGUAACGGAGGAUUAGGGUUCGAUUCCGGAGAGGGAGCCUGAGAAACGGCUACCACAUCUAAGGAAGGCAGCAGG